GCGGGAUGAUGCCAUUUUCCCUCCAACCCUCUGUUAGCCUGUGGAUGCUGCGUGAGCCGUGGCCAAGGACGGCUGACACGGUCCUGAAGCCCCGGAGGGCCAGUCCCAGGGGCUGGCUUUGAGAGGAGGGUCUGGUUGCUGAGCCGUGAAAGGCCUCAUGGAGAGGGGGCUUCUGAAAAUUUCCGUCUCCCCGCCUCCAGGUGCCCAGCAGUCCAGCCCUGACCAAGUUAUUCUUGGCAAACGCGAGCCGUCUCAGCGUCCUCGGGGCACGGAGCCUCCGGCCACUGAGGUGCUAUAAUCUGUGCUGGUGCAACUCUGUCCACAGCGGGC
Molecule: long non-coding RNA, 330 nt
Filed under: Equus caballus (horse)
Lineage: Eukaryota; Metazoa; Chordata; Mammalia; Perissodactyla; Equidae
Description: lncRNA (ENSECAG00000048764.1)
Source: RNAcentral